This 75-nucleotide transfer RNA is filed under the name Candidatus Andersenbacteria bacterium CG10_big_fil_rev_8_21_14_0_10_54_11. Its description in RNAcentral is "tRNA-Met". It matches the Rfam family "tRNA". Rfam says of the family: Transfer RNA (tRNA) molecules are approximately 80 nucleotides in length. Their secondary structure includes four short double-helical elements and three loops (D, anti-codon, and T loops). The record is from RNAcentral. Lineage: Bacteria; Candidatus Anderseniibacteriota.
CGCGGGGUGGAGAAGUAGUAUCUCGCAUGGCUCAUAACCAUGAGACCGCCGGUGCAAUUCCGGCCCCCGCCACCA